CUUAAAUAUACACAGAGGACUUGCCUGGUGUUCCUUUCAAGUCCAUACAAGGUCUUCUGUUACCAUACUUGGUAAAAUGUCUUUCUUCUUGACAUGGAUCAAAGCUGUUUUUAUCAUUGCCUUGGCAUUUCCUCAUUAUUCUGAAACUUCUUUUGAACCUUUACCAGAAAUUCGUCAAGUGAAUGAUCCUUCAAAAGUAACAAACAAACAGUUUUAUUAUUACGCUAAGUUCAAGAAACAGAAUCUUG
Leptonychotes weddellii (Weddell seal) is the source of this 248-nucleotide non-coding RNA. Lineage: Eukaryota; Metazoa; Chordata; Mammalia; Carnivora; Phocidae. The record is from RefSeq and is a predicted model, not a curated record.